Molecule: small nuclear RNA, 22 nt
Filed under: Arabidopsis thaliana (thale cress)
Lineage: Eukaryota; Viridiplantae; Streptophyta; Magnoliopsida; Brassicales; Brassicaceae
Description: snRNA_10082
Source: RNAcentral
UAAAUUGUCCAAUUUGCCCUCA